GGCGGCGUGCUUAACACAUGCAAGUCGAACGGAAAGGCCCUGCUUUUGUGGGGUGCUCGAGUGGCGAACGGGUGAGUAACACGUGAGUAACCUGCUCUUGACUUUGGGAUAACUUCAGGAAACUGGGGCUAAUACCGGAUAGGAGCUCCUGCUGCAUGGUGGGGGUUGGAAAGUUUCGGCGGUUGGGGAUGGACUCGCGGCUUAUCAGCUUGUUGGUGGGGUAGUGGCUUACCAAGGCUUUGACGGGUAGCCGGCCUGAGAGGGUGACCGGCCACAUUGGGACUGAGAUACGGCCCAGACUCCUACGGGAGGCAGCAGUGGGGAAUAUUGCACAAUGGGCGGAAGCCUGAUGCAGCAACGCCGCGUGCGGGAUGACGGCCUUCGGGUUGUAAACCGCUUUCGCCUGUGACGAAGCGUGAGUGACGGUAAUGGGUAAAGAAGCACCGGCUAACUACGUGCCAGCAGCCGCGGUGAUACGUAGGGUGCGAGCGUUGUCCGGAUUUAUUGGGCGUAAAGGGCUCGUAGGUGGUUGAUCGCGUCGGAAGUGUAAUCUUGGGGCUUAACCCUGAGCGUGCUUUCGAUACGGGUUGACUUGAGGAAGGUAGGGGAGAAUGGAAUUCCUGGUGGAGCGGUGGAAUGCGCAGAUAUCAGGAGGAACACCAGUGGCGAAGGCGGUUCUCUGGGCCUUUCCUGACGCUGAGGAGCGAAAGCGUGGGGAGCGAACAGGCUUAGAUACCCUGGUAGUCCACGCUGUAAACGGUGGGUACUAGGUGUGGGGUCCAUUCCACGGGUUCCGUGCCGUAGCUAACGCUUUAAGUACCCCGCCUGGGGAGUACGGCCGCAAGGCUAAAACUCAAAGGAAUUGACGGGGCCCCGCACAAGCGGCGGAGCAUGCGGAUUAAUUCGAUGCAACGCGUAGAACCUUACCUGGGUUUGACAUGGAUCGGGAGUGCUCAGAGAUGGGUGUGCCUCUUUUGGGGUCGGUUCACAGGUGGUGCAUGGCUGUCGUCAGCUCGUGUCGUGAGAUGUUGGGUUAAGUCCCGCAACGAGCGCAACCCUUGUUCACUGUUGCCAGCACGUUAUGGUGGGGACUCAGUGGAGACCGCCGGGGUCAACUCGGAGGAAGGUGGGGAUGACGUCAAGUCAUCAUGCCCCUUAUGUCCAGGGCUUCACGCAUGCUACAAUGGCUGGUACAGAGAGUGGCGAGCCUGUGAGGGUGAGCGAAUCUCGGAAAGCCGGUCUCAGUUCGGAUUGGGGUCUGCAACUCGACCUCAUGAAGUCGGAGUCGCUAGUAAUCGCAGAUCAGCAACGCUGCGGUGAAUACGUUCCCGGGGCUUGUACACACCGCCCGUCAAGUCAUGAAAGUUGGUAACACCCGAAGCCGGUGGCCUAACCGUUGUGGGGGAGCCGUCGAAGGUGGGACUGGUGAUUAGGACUAAGUCG
This 1443-nucleotide ribosomal RNA is filed under the name uncultured organism. RNAcentral describes it as "16S ribosomal RNA". It matches the Rfam family "Bacterial small subunit ribosomal RNA". The record is from RNAcentral.